ACUCCUACGGGAGGCAGCAGUGGGGGAAUAUUGCACAAUGGGAAGCCAUCGAUGCAGCCAUGCCGCGCUGUGUGAAGAAGGCCAAUUCGGGCUUUGGUUAAAGACACUUUUCAGUAGGGAGGAAGGUAGUGUAGUUAACACCUGCAUUAUUUGACGUUACCUACAGAAGAAGCACCGGCUAACUCCGUGCCAGCAGCCGCGGUAAUACGGAGGGUGCGAGCGUUAAUCGGAAUUACUGGGCGUAAAGCGUGCGCAGGCGGUUUGUUAAGCGAGAUGUGAAAG
RNAcentral lists this ribosomal RNA (282 nucleotides) under uncultured bacterium. Its description in RNAcentral is "partial 16S ribosomal RNA". It matches the Rfam family "Bacterial small subunit ribosomal RNA", at positions 335 to 600 of the family's 1533-position model. The record is from RNAcentral.